Molecule: ribosomal RNA, 2509 nt
Filed under: Salmonella enterica subsp. enterica serovar Weltevreden str. 2007-60-3289-1
Lineage: Bacteria; Pseudomonadati; Pseudomonadota; Gammaproteobacteria; Enterobacterales; Enterobacteriaceae
Description: bacterial LSU rRNA
Rfam family: Bacterial large subunit ribosomal RNA
Source: RNAcentral
AAACCGUGUACGUACAAGCAGUGGGAGCCCCACCACCAAAGCGUUUCGCUUUGUGUGGUGCACAAAGAAGCGUAACGACAGCACUGAAUGACGGUUAACGGAGCGCAAGCGACGUUCAACAUACAAAGUCAAGCAGUGGAGCGCUUUGGGGUGGGGUGACUGCGUACCUUUUGUAUAAUGGGUCAGCGACUUAUAUUCUGUAGCAAGGUUAACCGAAUAGGGGAGCCGGAGGGAAACCGAGUCUUAAUUGGGCGUUAAGUUGCAGGGUAUAGACCCGAAACCCGGUGAUCUAGCCAUGGGCAGGUUGAAGGUUGGGUAACACUAACUGGAGGACCGAACCGACUAAUGUUGAAAAAUUAGCGGAUGACCUGUGGCUGGGGGUGAAAGGCCAAUCAAACCGGGAGAUAGCUGGUUCUCCCCGAAAGCUAUUUAGGUAGCGCCUCGUGAAUUCAUCUCCGGGGGUAGAGCACUGUUUCGGCUAGGGGGCCAUCCCGGCUUACCAACCCGAUGCAAACUGCGAAUACCGGAGAAUGUUAUCACGGGAGACACACGGCGGGUGCUAACGUCCGUCGUGAAGAGGGAAACAACCCAGACCGCCAGCUAAGGUCCCAAAGUCAUGGUUAAGUGGGAAACGAUGUGGGAAGGCCCAGACAGCCAGGAUGUUGGCUUAGAAGCAGCCAUCAUUUAAAGAAAGCGUAAUAGCUCACUGGUCGAGUCGGCCUGCGCGGAAGAUGUAACGGGGCUAAACCAUGCACCGAAGCUGCGGCAGCGACGCUUAUGCGUUGUUGGGUAGGGGAGCGUUCUGUAAGCCUGUGAAGGUGGCCUGUGAGGGUUGCUGGAGGUAUCAGAAGUGCGAAUGCUGACAUAAGUAACGAUAAAGCGGGUGAAAAGCCCGCUCGCCGGAAGACCAAGGGUUCCUGUCCAACGUUAAUCGGGGCAGGGUGAGUCGACCCCUAAGGCGAGGCCGAAAGGCGUAGUCGAUGGGAAACGGGUUAAUAUUCCCGUACUUGGUGUUACUGCGAAGGGGGGACGGAGAAGGCUAUGUUGGCCGGGCGACGGUUGUCCCGGUUUAAGCGUGUAGGUGUGUGUUCCAGGUAAAUCCGGUUCACUUUAACACUGAGGCGUGAUGACGAGGCACUACGGUGCUGAAGCAACAAAUGCCCUGCUUCCAGGAAAAGCCUCUAAGCAUCAGGUAACAUCAAAUCGUACCCCAAACCGACACAGGUGGUCAGGUAGAGAAUACCAAGGCGCUUGAGAGAACUCGGGUGAAGGAACUAGGCAAAAUGGUGCCGUAACUUCGGGAGAAGGCACGCUGACACGUAGGUGAAGUGAUUUACUCAUGGAGCUGAAGUCAGUCGAAGAUACCAGCUGGCUGCAACUGUUUAUUAAAAACACAGCACUGUGCAAACACGAAAGUGGACGUAUACGGUGUGACGCCUGCCCGGUGCCGGAAGGUUAAUUGAUGGGGUCAGCGCAAGCGAAGCUCCUGAUCGAAGCCCCGGUAAACGGCGGCCGUAACUAUAACGGUCCUAAGGUAGCGAAAUUCCUUGUCGGGUAAGUUCCGACCUGCACGAAUGGCGUAAUGAUGGCCAGGCUGUCUCCACCCGAGACUCAGUGAAAUUGAACUCGCUGUGAAGAUGCAGUGUACCCGCGGCAAGACGGAAAGACCCCGUGAACCUUUACUAUAGCUUGACACUGAACAUUGAGCCUUGAUGUGUAGGAUAGGUGGGAGGCUUUGAAGCGUGGACGCCAGUCUGCGUGGAGCCGACCUUGAAAUACCACCCUUUAAUGUUUGAUGUUCUAACGUGGACCCGUAAUCCGGGUUGCGGACAGUGUCUGGUGGGUAGUUUGACUGGGGCGGUCUCCUCCUAAAGAGUAACGGAGGAGCACGAAGGUUGGCUAAUCCUGGUCGGACAUCAGGAGGUUAGUGCAAUGGCAUAAGCCAGCUUGACUGCGAGCGUGACGGCGCGAGCAGGUGCGAAAGCAGGUCAUAGUGAUCCGGUGGUUCUGAAUGGAAGGGCCAUCGCUCAACGGAUAAAAGGUACUCCGGGGAUAACAGGCUGAUACCGCCCAAGAGUUCAUAUCGACGGCGGUGUUUGGCACCUCGAUGUCGGCUCAUCACAUCCUGGGGCUGAAGUAGGUCCCAAGGGUAUGGCUGUUCGCCAUUUAAAGUGGUACGCGAGCUGGGUUUAGAACGUCGUGAGACAGUUCGGUCCCUAUCUGCCGUGGGCGCUGGAGAACUGAGGGGGGCUGCUCCUAGUACGAGAGGACCGGAGUGGACGCAUCACUGGUGUUCGGGUUGUCAUGCCAAUGGCACUGCCCGGUAGCUAAAUGCGGAAGAGAUAAGUGCUGAAAGCAUCUAAGCACGAAACUUGCCCCGAGAUGAGUUCUCCCUGAGACUUAGAGUCUCCUGAAGGAACGUUGAAGACGACGACGUUGAUAGGCCGGGUGUGUAAGCGCAGCGAUGCGUUGAGCUAACCGGUACUAAUGAACCGUGAGGCUUAACCUU